This 1243-nucleotide small RNA is filed under the name Pyricularia oryzae. Its description in RNAcentral is "Magnaporthe oryzae sRNA M_BR32_EuGene_00145461". Lineage: Eukaryota; Fungi; Ascomycota; Sordariomycetes; Magnaporthales; Pyriculariaceae. The record is from RNAcentral.
AUAUUUACCCCUACCAUUCUAAUAAAACAUCGACUUCGCCACUGGCUUACUUGAUUUUGUUUUUCAUGAAAAUAAUUCUAAAAAAAGGCUAUAGGGGCAUAAAGUUCAAGGCAAGUACCAGGCAGCGUAAUGGGUUCUUCACUAUAUUCGUGAAAAUGGGUCUCGGUGAAACAAUGCGAUAAAAAAAUAAAGGAAUACAGGCUUUGACAAAGGUACAUGAAAUGAGUACUAACCCAAUAUAAUUUACCAAAUUUUUGCAGCAAAGUUUAACUACGGGACCAAAUAAAGCAUUAUCACCAUCCUACUCUUUAUACAUCCCCAGGAUUUGACCGACAUAAUUGUGCGUAGUCUAGCCUAACUACUUCCUAUAUUUCGCGCUUAAACCCCGGCUUAAAUAGAAACGUAUACUCUCUUAAACAUUAAUAUCACAUAGCGGAUAAACAGGGCAAGUUCACAGCGGUACCUAAACCACAGUUGGUAUAUAAAGGUAUUAUUUAUAUCAAUAAAUAAAAUUAUCUAAUGUGGAUACGUGAUAAUAAGGAAGGGGUAGUACGGGCCACUCUCCGGCCUAAAGUUUGUUUUAUCUUCGAACAGCUUUUGCUUCCACGAUUAAUAAUUAAAUCGCAUAACCGUGAAAAGUAAUAAAAUUUUGCUUUGAAUAAGUUUGAACAUAAGAAACUGCAGAGUUUUCGGCUAAAUUUACGGGCGCGAGGCGCAUAUUGCGAGCUUGGCCGUGCCUGGCCGACUAUUACCCGGGGCUCAUCCCACUUAGCAUAUAAGGCGUUGGGAAGGUGAGGCCGGGCUUAACCGCGUUAGUUUAACAUGUUUUUAAUUGCAAUAAUUAUCUUUCCUUUAAUUUAGAACUUGGUAAGUGAUAUGUAAUAUGUUAAGGUUUCUAAAAUACGUCUGGCUAUACAACCUGGACAUAUACAUUAUUAACUUAUAUAUAUAAACUUAAAUAAUAGGCUUACUAAUAAAUUAAAAUAUAUUUCUAAACCACACGUCAAUUCUUAAUAUUACUUUAUUAAUAAUAUAUUUGACACGAAUUACAACAUGUCGCUUUACAAUAUAAAGUAGAAAUAUUAUAUAAAUUAAUGUGCAUUCUUAAUACAUAAUUAAAUGUAAACCGCAUUAAACAAUUUAUGAAUAAGUGAAAACUCCAAGUAAUAUAAAUAAGAACGUGUUAAAAAUAAAUACAAGUUGACACAUUUCUUCAAUUAACAACCCCUUAGGGUUAGGGUUA